Glossina fuscipes is the source of this 3494-nucleotide long non-coding RNA. RefSeq lists it as uncharacterized. The transcript has 3 exons. NCBI's taxonomy places the organism in Eukaryota, Metazoa, Arthropoda, Insecta, Diptera, Glossinidae. The record is from RefSeq and is a predicted model, not a curated record.
AUUAGUUUUCCGAUUUAUAUGUCGCAGAAGUUUUAAAUCUUCGGUAUUUUCUUUUAAAUCCAAAAUUGCUGGAGUCUUAAAAAGACAAAAAAUGUUCGGUGCCAAUGCCACCAAAUCCAGCUACAAAUACAACAUUCUUCCCGGAAAGAUCCAUUCUAAUAUGAAGAAUAAUCUUUGAGAUGAUACGGCUUUAAGCUUUCUUUAAAAAUCUUUUCUUCACCAGCGACAAUUGCCUAUCCUAAUGAAUCCUGGAAGAUGGGUGCGUUGCAUUUUUAUACCAAGACCAUUGAUAAGUAUAAAAGUUAUGACAAAACACGUUGCGUUUUGAAUUUUUUUUAUUUUGUUUAACAGAUCAAAAAAAUUCGGUGUGAGGAGAGCGAACCUUGAUCUUGACUAAGAUUAAUAAUUCAUAAUAAUUUCGCUUUGCUGGAAAAUUGUAAGGUCUUGUAUUAAGUGAGAAAAUGUUAGAAAGCUGUCUUAAAAAUCACUUGUAUAGUCACGUGAGGGAUUCUCCCGAACGAAUUAAAAUUGCAAUUAAAGUGCUUACCAUCAACUUGAUUUUCUAAAUUCAAGUUAAUUGAACAUCUUGACGGCAGCAACAAAUUAUUAUACAGAUGCAUAUAUAAUAGAUAUAAGAUAUAUGCACGUUUAUUAGUAAAACACAGAAGCAAGGAUAUGAAUGUAAAUGACUACAAUAUUUGCGUAAUAUCUUUGAAACAAAAACUAUUAAUAAGCCACACAUGCAAAAAUACCUACGUACAUGGCAAUUAUUGAAAAAAAAAGUACUCAUAAGUUGGCAGAUAUUCAGCAUUAAGAUGAAGGCAUUAUUCGUAUUAAGAGACAAAAAGACAGACAUGAAAAUGUGCAUGUCUUUACAAGCGUGCGAUCGAUUAUGACGUCUGUGUUUCGUCGAAUCGUAUGUUAAAAAUUGAAAAUUAAUAUCUUACACUCGCACAAACAAUGGUGUACAUUCACGAUUUCAAUGGCGAUGAACCGUUCGAACUUAUCGAUGUAAUUCUAAGAUCUAUCACACAUGAUCAAUUUUUAUACGCUACUCCCCUUAUACGCAGGUAUAUUAAUUGGAUAUCCUAACGUUGGCAAAUCUUCGCUCAUUAAUGCUUUGAAAGGCCGCAACAUAACAAGUGUAAGUCUCACCCCUGACCAUACUAUGCAUUCCAUUAUAGACAACUCCCUUUUAGUCUCACUGCCUUGCUCAUACCUUCUACCCAUAAUCUUCCGCACUUGGGCUUCUUAAAAUUAAUUCAUAUUUGUCCUCAGAAGCGAUGCGGGCAAGAAUGAUAUCCUUUUGUGUCGGUCGACCAAAAACAAAGGAAGCUGAGUACGGUUUAUUUGGCACAACUUUAAGUAGGCUACACAAACACUUUUUCAAUUUAUUAGUUACACGCCCUCACAUUACACGACGACGUUUGUUGAUGCGCAAACAAAAGGCCCGUUAUAUUAAAUAUUUAUACUAUACUCUGCGCUGGUGCGCCAUCUGUUUCUAAAAUUCGCAUUUAUAUUUAACAUGUUAACACGAGGAGUGUUUCAACCGAUCACUAAAUGGUGUAUUCUUGCACACGGUACUAUUGAAUCGAUCAGCCAAUUCUACCCAAUUUGUCUAUAUCCGGGUGUAACAUGCUGACUAUACUGCGAUCGAAUCUUACCAGAUGAGAUUUAUGCGAUCGACAUCAUGUAGAUUUUUAGCGUAGAAUUUUCCCUCGAGUCCCAAAUAGUUUUACUACAUCAGAAUCUUAAGACAAUUAAUGGUCGGACAUAAAUGUCAGACGGGAAAAAAAGAAGUAUUUAGUUAAUCCCAAUCUUCCAAGCAAAAGUGCAAAAUAAAAUCAACUUAUUGAUCUCAAAGAAAGGUUGCUUGCGUUCUUGCUUGCGUUAUUGUCUUGACGAAGGAUAAUUGAUCCGAAAGCACUCCUCUACAUAUCCAUAAGAAACCAUACAAAAUUGAAAGAAAAUCGUUUUGCUGCCUCUCGCCAUGCGAAAAAGAAUAUAAUGCGCUAAUCUGCGGAUAUGAAGGCAAGCUUUUCUUACAUUCUCCAUCUAUUGUCAGAUUCUUUCAUGCAUUUGCAGCUUCCCUAAACGUGUCGUUGCAGAGAUUCGAAAAAAGAUCAUUUCAAUACUGGGUUGUCACAAGAUUGCUGCUUCAUUGUAGCUCUACUCAACUAACUAGCAUGAUUUCUAAUAUUAAAAAACAUAAAUAUAAUCCUAGUGAUUCGUCGCUGGCCAAUAAUGAACUCCACUGUACGUAUCUGGAUUAUAUUUAAAGCUUUGUAACACACGGUCGUAUAAUGUGAGAGCUAUUACAAAUACAAUCCUGUAAUAGAAAGCUCGCUAAUUUUACUCGUGGAGAGAGGUUUGUCAUUGAGGAAAAAAACUGGAACCAAUUUCCUGAGAAAAGAAAAAGAAAGAAGGGAAAAAGAUGGUGGUCUUUAAUGUGAUCGUAAUUUAACUUCCUAGAGUGAAUGAAAACUUCCUGAAAGAAAAACAAAAAUAGAAAUAAAUAAAAAGAUUUUGCUUAAAAAUCAAGAUAUGGAGACCAAUCUACUAUAUAAUGAUGAAGAAGAAAUAACUAGUGAAGCGGAAAUCUUGCUUCUAGAUAUAAAGAGAGGGUUUUAAGCUUGGAGCGUGUGGGUAUAUUUUCCGAAUCCAUUGUCCCAUAUUUUAUGAUGGAUAAAAAAUUAUGGAUCCAUCCGUCCAUCUUCCCGUCUGUUAAUCCGUCUAUCUGCCUACAUGUAAGCUAUAUAGUAUCUUUAAUACACAGUCUACUAUUCGCCAAGAAGACGACAUCGCCUACAAAUUUACAAAUGAGUUUGAAAACGGCCCAAGCAGAUCAAAGGGCACGCCUACAACACCCAACACUAAAACUGAGAAUACCUUUGCUUUCCGUGCCUUUUGAUCGUUGCUUAUAAACUGCAACAGCCGCACCCAUUUUACAAAAAUGAAAAAAAUCGGCCACGCCCACCCAAUAUCAUUGAAGGUGAAAAUAUAUAUUUUUUUUACCUUUUUUUUCAAUAUUUUGUAGGAUAGGAGUAAAGGAUAGAACGGAUUCGUAAGCAAGCGCAAAUAUAAUUUUCUUAUAGGUUUUCUUUUUGAAAACAAACAAAAAUUCAUAUAACCGCUUCAAAGCCAUACGUAGGCCAUUAACAAAAAUCCAUAUAAUUAUAUGGGCGACACGUUUAAGUAAUUACAAAAAAUGCACCCUGUAUAAAACUAUUCACGAUAAAAAUCUUAUCCAUUUUUUCGUAGAACCUCUCAUCUCUUCCUAGCUAGUCUCGUCCAUUAUUUCCAAAAAAAAGGCCACAAAUAUUGUUUCGUUUGCGGUCGCCUAAGAGUGUUAAAAUGUUUGCUUCAUUUUGUCAAGAGGUCAACGCGUACAGGCGUUGUUGGUGUAGCCACCUAUCGCUAUAAAUACUAAUUGGCUGGAUAAUAUAUACUAGAGAAGCGAGAAAUUAUUAUUUUAUUAUAAUUAGUUUUGCUAU